RNAcentral lists this ribosomal RNA (253 nucleotides) under uncultured bacterium. RNAcentral's name for it is "partial 16S ribosomal RNA". It matches the Rfam family "Bacterial small subunit ribosomal RNA", at positions 524 to 776 of the family's 1533-position model. The record is from RNAcentral.
UACGUAGGGGGCAAGCGUUGUCCGGAAUUAUUGGGCGUAAAGCGCGUGUAGGCGGUCCGGUAAGUCGGCUGUGAAAGUCCAGGGCUCAACCCUGGGAUGCCGGUCGAUACUGCCUGACUAGAGUUCGGAAGAGGCGAGUGGAAUUCCCGGUGUAGCGGUGAAAUGCGUAGAUAUCAGGAGGAACACCGGUGGCGAAGGCGGCUUCCUGGACCACAACUGACGCUGAGGCGCGAAAGCUAGGGGAGCAAACAGG